Molecule: ribosomal RNA, 429 nt
Filed under: uncultured bacterium
Lineage: Bacteria
Description: bacterial SSU rRNA
Rfam family: Bacterial small subunit ribosomal RNA
Source: RNAcentral
UGGGGAAUUGUUCGCAAUGGGCGCAAGCCUGACGACGCAACGCCGCGUGGAGGAUGAAGAUCUUCGGGUCGUAAACUCCUUUCGAUCGAGACGAACAGCCUUCGGGUAAACAAUCCGGAGGUCUGACGGUACCGAGAGAAGAAGCCCCGGCUAACUCCGUGCCAGCAGCCGCGGUAAUACGGGGGGGGCAAGCGUUGUUCGGAAUUACUGGGCGUAAAGGGCUCGUAGGCGGCCAACUAAGUCAGACGUGAAAUCCCUCGGCUUAACCGGGGAACUGCGUCUGAUACUGGAUGGCUUGAGUUUGGGAGAGGGAUGCGGAAUUCCAGGUGUAGCGGUGAAAUGCGUAGAUAUCUGGAGGAACACCGGUGGCGAAGGCGGCAUCCUGGACCAACACUGACGCUGAGUGAGCGAAAGCCAGGGGAGCAAACG